This is a long non-coding RNA of Telopea speciosissima, 138 nucleotides long. RefSeq lists it as uncharacterized. The record is from RefSeq and is a predicted model, not a curated record. The transcript is spliced from 4 exons. NCBI's taxonomy places the organism in Eukaryota, Viridiplantae, Streptophyta, Magnoliopsida, Proteales, Proteaceae.
AAUUUCUAUUGGCUACCAACCCAUGAAGAUAUUGUAAAUAGUGUCCAUAAAAUGUACGCGAAGGAUGGGAUAUCUAGGGAUGAAGUUGUGAGCAUUGUAAACACAUUUCCUAAUCAAGGUAUCUACCCUAUGGGACUU